GACGAACGCUGGCGGCGUGCUUAACACAUGCAAGUCGAACGGAAAGGCCCUGCUUUUGUGGGGUGCUCGAGUGGCGAACGGGUGAGUAACACGUGAGUAACCUGCCCUUGACUUUGGGAUAACUUCAGGAAACUGGGGCUAAUACCGGAUAGGAGCUCCUGCUGCAUGGUGGGGGUUGGAAAGUCUCGGCGGUUGGGGAUGGACUCGCGGCUUAUCAGCUUGUUGGUGGGGUAGUGGCUUACCAAGGCUUUGACGGGUAGCCGGCCUGAGAGGGUGACCGGCCACAUUGGGACUGAGAUACGGCCCAGACUCCUACGGGAGGCAGCAGUGGGGAAUAUUGCACAAUGGGCGGAAGCCUGAUGCAGCAACGCCGCGUGCGGGAUGCCGGCCUUCGGGUUGUAAACCGCUUUCGCCUGUGACGAAGCGUGAGUGACGGUAAUGGGUAAAGAAGCACCGGCUAACUACGUG
RNAcentral lists this ribosomal RNA (468 nucleotides) under uncultured bacterium. RNAcentral's name for it is "partial 16S ribosomal RNA". It matches the Rfam family "Bacterial small subunit ribosomal RNA", at positions 28 to 507 of the family's 1533-position model. The record is from RNAcentral.